UGGGGAAUAUUGCACAAUGGGCGCAAGCCUGAUGCAGCCAUGCCGCGUGUGUGAAGAAGGCCUUCGGGUUGUAAAGCACUCUCAGCGAGGAGGAAGGUGGUGAGCUUAAUACGCUCAUCAAUUGACGUUACUCGCAGAAGAAGCACCGGCUAACUCCGUGCCAGCAGCCGCGGUAAUACGGAGGGUGCAAGCGUUAAUCGGAAUUACUGGGCGUAAAGCGCACGCAGGCGGUUUGUUAAGUCAGAUGUGAAAUCCCCGGGCUCAACCUGGGAACUGCAUUUGAAACUGGCAAGCUAGAGUCUCGUAGAGGGGGUAGAAUUCCAGGUGUAGCGGUGAAAUGCGUAGAGAUCUGGAGGAAUACCGGUGGCGAAGGCGGCCCCCUGGACGAAGACUGACGCUCAGGUGCGAAAGCGUGGGGAGCAAAACAGGAUUAGAUACCCUGGUAGUCCACGCUGUAAACGAUGUCGAUUUUGGAGGUUGUGCCCUUGAGGCGUGGCUUCCGGAGCUAACGCGUUAAAUCGACCGCCUGGGGAGUACGGCCGCAAGGUU
RNAcentral lists this ribosomal RNA (549 nucleotides) under uncultured bacterium. RNAcentral's name for it is "partial 16S ribosomal RNA". It matches the Rfam family "Bacterial small subunit ribosomal RNA", at positions 355 to 895 of the family's 1533-position model. The record is from RNAcentral.